GUAGGGAAUAUUGGUGAAUGGGCGAAAGCCCGAACCAGCAACGCCGCGUGUGCGAUGAAGGCCUUCGGGUUGUAAAGCACUUUUCUCUGGGAAGAGGAAGGACGGUACCAGAGGAAUAAGCCUCGGCUAACUACGUGCCAGCAGCCGCGGUAAAACGUAGGAGGCGAGCGUUAUCCGGAUUUACUGGGUGUAAAGCGCGAGCAGGCGGCUCGCUAAGUUGGGUGUGAAAGCUCCCGGCUCAACUGGGAGAGGUCGCUCAAGACUGGCGGGCUAGAGGGUGGUAGAGGAAGGUGGAAUUCCGGGUGUAGUGGUGAAAUGCGUAGAUAUCCGGAGGAACACCAGUGGCGAAAGCGGCCUUCUGGGCCACCCCUGACGCUCAGACGCGAAAGCUAGGGUAGCAAACGGGAUUAGAAACCCGUGUAGUCC
This 426-nucleotide ribosomal RNA is filed under the name uncultured bacterium. Its description in RNAcentral is "bacterial SSU rRNA". It matches the Rfam family "Bacterial small subunit ribosomal RNA", at positions 354 to 796 of the family's 1533-position model. The record is from RNAcentral.